AGUGAACGCUGGCGGUAGGCCUAACACAUGCAAGUCGAACGGCAGCACAGUAAGAGCUUGCUCUUACGGGUGGCGAGUGGCGGACGGGUGAGGAAUACAUCGGAAUCUACUUUUUCGUGGGGGAUAACGUAGGGAAACUUACGCUAAUACCGCAUACGACCUACGGGUGAAAGCAGGGGAUCUUCGGAUCUUGCGCGAUUGAAUGAGCCGAUGUCGGAUUAGCUAGUUGGCGGGGUAAAGGCCCACCAAGGCGACGAUCCGUAGCUGGUCUGAGAGGAUGAUCAGCCACACUGGAACUGAGACACGGUCCAGACUCCUACGGGAGGCAGCAGUGGGGAAUAUUGGACAAUGGGCGCAAGCCUGAUCCAGCCAGACCGCGUGGGUGAAGAAGGCCUUCGGGUUGUAAAGCCCUUUUGUUGGGAAAGAAAAGCAGCAGGUUAAUACCCCGCUGUUCUGACGGUACCCAAAGAAUAAGCACCGGCUAACUUCGUG
Molecule: ribosomal RNA, 492 nt
Filed under: uncultured bacterium
Lineage: Bacteria
Description: partial 16S ribosomal RNA
Rfam family: Bacterial small subunit ribosomal RNA
Source: RNAcentral